RNAcentral lists this unclassified non-coding RNA (658 nucleotides) under Hevea brasiliensis (rubber tree). Lineage: Eukaryota; Viridiplantae; Streptophyta; Magnoliopsida; Malpighiales; Euphorbiaceae. The record is from RNAcentral.
GCCUAAUCUGAGAUUUUUGUGGUUACAUUUUACUUCAUACAAAGGGUCUAAAAUGGUCUGCUCUGCCCAUGGGUUUCCUCAACUUGAGACUCUUAUUCUUGUAGUUUUAAAGGAACUAGAAGAAUGGGAAAUAGAAGAAGGUGCAAUGCCAUGUCUCAAGACUUUAAGAUUGGCUGCACCAAGACUGAAGAUGAUUCCAGAAGGAUUGAAAUCAGUCACCACCAUUCAAGAAUUGACUAUUGAUGGGCUGACAAAACUUGUGGAGAGGGUUAAAGUCAUAGACGGAGUGGAAGGAGAGGAUUUUGAAAAAGUGCGCCACAUACCAUCCAUCUUAUUCAACUAAUGGCGAAGCUGAAAAAACAUUUAUCACAAAGGCAUUUUGUAAGAGCAAUGAAUUGAUGGCAAACUCAGAAUUGCAGUCUGCGGACUGUAGCAGGCUUGGACAUGAACAUCCAUAACAGCAUUCCAUUUGGAUGUGAUUAGUUGUUUUCCUGUGUUGUUUUUGUGUGUUUAUUUUUUUUUUGAAUAACAAAUUUCAGUGUGAAAACCUUCAAACUUUAUUUCUUAUUUGCCAUAAUUGUAUUGUCAUUUUUAAUGUUUAUUUUACUUCUUAUUUCUUCCCAUAAAUAACAAAAUGAUGUAUUGCAAAUGCUUGACG